Lolium perenne is the source of this 771-nucleotide RNA transcript. RefSeq lists it as uncharacterized. The record is from RefSeq and is a predicted model, not a curated record. Lineage: Eukaryota; Viridiplantae; Streptophyta; Magnoliopsida; Poales; Poaceae.
AGCCGCACUUGGCCAUGCAUCAACAACCAUCAACAGCUCAAACUUGCUCAAGACGAACAAGGCCUCUCCAAGACUCCAACGCAAAAGAAGAUGCCGUCCAAGGCGAACGCUAAAUCAUUCAGGUAACCGUAAACCCCAUGCUGCAACAGAAGGUCCUGCAAAACAUGCAUCGUCUAGUUCUGCGAUGAGCACCAAGCAUUCAAGCUUGGACAAUCGUCCACAUAAACAGGCAUCUUCCACCGGCACAGCUAAAUCGACCAAAAGUCAUGCCACACCGCCGAUAUCAGGCAGCAAAAAGCAAAGCAACUAAUCAACCUAGCGAAAGGCUACAAUCCUUCUAAUAAGUGGUGAAUCCAGAAUCAAGAAAUUUAUUAAUUCUCUCGUAUGUAUGGACUGAUGGAGAAGGAUGUUAAGCUAGAUUAGCAUACUUUGCCUCUGGUAGGAGGAGUUACAAGUAGUUAAGAUGUGCAAAAGAAAUAUGGCUUAAUUAAUUUAUUGCAUAUUAUUACAUCAGUUUCGAAAUAUAAGAUUUUUUAGAAAGCUAAAUUAGCUAUCUAAAAAGGGUUAUAUUUAGGAACGGAGGUAGUAGUCGUUUGUAUGUACUUUGUAGUGUUUGACUUUGUGAAUAUGUACUUUUAGUAUUCCUCGAAAAAAAUAUGUACUUUUAGUCCAUAGAGUAUGUUGCUAUUGUAAUAAUAAACUCACGUGUAAAUUUGGAUUAUUUAGUUCCCAUGGGCCUGGAAAAUAAUCAAAUGGGGAUUGUCCCAUCAU